RNAcentral lists this non-coding RNA (82 nucleotides) under Deltaproteobacteria bacterium. RNAcentral describes it as "c-di-GMP sequence". It matches the Rfam family "c-di-GMP-I riboswitch aptamer". From Rfam's summary of the family: GEMM was predicted in a large-scale screen for bacterial structured RNA regulatory elements. Genes associated with GEMM are involved in a diverse array of functions, including chemotaxis regulation, signal transduction, secretion and chitin. The record is from RNAcentral. Lineage: Bacteria; Pseudomonadati; Myxococcota; Myxococcia.
ACCUUGAAAAGCCACGCCCAUUCUUGACCAGGGCACGGAAAGUCACGGGUCUUCGCAAGCAAAAGACAGCCGGACUGCCAAG